Molecule: ribosomal RNA, 301 nt
Filed under: uncultured bacterium
Lineage: Bacteria
Description: partial 16S ribosomal RNA
Rfam family: Bacterial small subunit ribosomal RNA
Source: RNAcentral
CAGUCGCCGCGGGAAUACGUAGGUGGCAAGCGUUGUCCGGAAUUAUUGGGCGUAAAGGGCUCGCAGGCGGUUUCUUAAGUCUGAUGUGAAAGCCCCCGGCUCAACCGGGGGGGGUCAUUGGAAACUGGGAAACUUGAGCGCAGAAGAGGAGAGUGGAAUUCCACGUGUAGCGGUGAAAUGCGUAGAGAUGUGGAGGAACACCAGUGGCGAAGGCGACUCUCUGGUCUGUAACUGACGCUGAGGAGCGAAAGCGUGGGGAGCGAACAGGAUUAGAUACCCCGGUAGUCCCUGUCUCUUAUAC